RNAcentral lists this ribosomal RNA (468 nucleotides) under uncultured bacterium. RNAcentral's name for it is "partial 16S ribosomal RNA". It matches the Rfam family "Bacterial small subunit ribosomal RNA", at positions 28 to 507 of the family's 1533-position model. The record is from RNAcentral.
GACGAACGCUGGCGGCGUGCUUAACACAUGCAAGUCGAACGGAAAGGCCCUGCUUUUGUGGGGUGCUCGUGUGGCGAACGGGUGAGUAACACGUGAGUAACAUCCCCUUGACUUUGGGAUAACUUCAGGAAACUGGGGCUAAUACAGGAUAUGAGCUCCUGCUGCAUGGUGGGGGUUGGAAAGUUUCGGCGGUUGGGGAUGGACUCGCGGCUUAUCCGCUUGUUGGUGGGGUAGUGGCUUACCAAGGCUUUGACGGGUAGCCGGCCUGAGAGGGUGACCGGCCACAAUGGGACUGAGAGACGGCCCAGACUCCUACGGGAGGCAGCAGUGGGGAAUAUUGCACAAUGGGCGGAAGCCUGAUGCAGCAACGCCGCGUGCGGGAUGACGGCCUUCGGGUUGUAAACCGCUUUCGCCUGUGACGAAGCGUGAGUGACGGUAACGGGUAAAAAAGCACCGGCUAACUACGUG